This is a non-coding RNA of Pan troglodytes (chimpanzee), 117 nucleotides long. It matches the Rfam family "Metazoan signal recognition particle RNA". Rfam says of the family: The signal recognition particle (SRP) is a universally conserved ribonucleoprotein. The record is from Rfam. NCBI's taxonomy places the organism in Eukaryota, Metazoa, Chordata, Mammalia, Primates, Hominidae.
GCUGGGUGUGGUGGCUCACACCUGUAAUCCCAGCACUUUGGGAGGCUGAGGUGGGUGGAUCACUUGAGGUCAGGAGUUAGAGACCAGCCUGGCCAACAUGGUGAAACCCCAUCUCUA